Molecule: ribosomal RNA, 501 nt
Filed under: uncultured bacterium
Lineage: Bacteria
Description: partial 16S ribosomal RNA
Rfam family: Bacterial small subunit ribosomal RNA
Source: RNAcentral
AUUGAACGCUGGCGGCAUGCCUUACACAUGCAAGUCGAACGGCAGCACGGGUGCUUGCACCUGGUGGCGAGUGGCGAACGGGUGAGUAAUACAUCGGAACGUACCUUAUCGUGGGGGAUAACGCAGCGAAAGCUGUGCUAAUACCGCAUACGCCCUGAGGGGGAAAGCGGGGGAUCGAAAGACCUCGCGCGAUUAGAGCGGCCGAUGCCUGAUUAGCUUGUUGGUGGGGUAAAAGCCCACCAAGGCGACGAUCAGUAGCUGGUCUGAGAGGACGAUCAGCCACACUGGGACGAAGACACGGCCCAGACUCCUACGGGAGGCAGCAGUGGGGAAUUUUGGACAAUGGGGGCAACCCUGAUCCAGCAAUGCCGCGUGAGUGAAGAAGGCCUUCGGGUUGUAAAGCUCUUUUGUCAGGGAAUAAACACCGGCUCUAACACAGUCCGGGAAUGACGGUACCUGAAGAAUAAGCACCGGCUAACUACGUGCCAGCAGCCGCCGUAA